AAUCAACGUUGGCGGCGUGCCUAACNCAUGCAAGUCGAGCGCGAAUGGGGGAGCAAUCCCCUAGUAGAGCGGCGAACGGGUGAGUAACACGUGGGUGAUCUGCCUCCGAGUGGGGAACACNGCGGGAACUGCUGCUAAUACCGCAUGACAUCAUCGGGUCACACCGAUGAUCAAAGCCGGGGACCGCAAGGCCUGGCGCUUGGAGAGGAGCCCC
RNAcentral lists this ribosomal RNA (214 nucleotides) under uncultured bacterium. RNAcentral describes it as "partial 16S ribosomal RNA". It matches the Rfam family "Bacterial small subunit ribosomal RNA", at positions 32 to 233 of the family's 1533-position model. The record is from RNAcentral.